This 1560-nucleotide long non-coding RNA is filed under the name Mytilus galloprovincialis (Mediterranean mussel). Lineage: Eukaryota; Metazoa; Mollusca; Bivalvia; Mytilida; Mytilidae. The record is from RNAcentral.
AAAAUUAUUUUUGAACUUACUUUUGGAUACAAAAGCACAAACAUUUUAACCCCACAAAAAUUAAUUUUUACACAGUAUAUAUCUUGAAAAGUCCCUUCAAAUGGAUGAAAGCCAUUAGACAACAGACAAAGUUUUAAAUGACUUUUUUUUUUUAAAUAAUCCAAGGCUUUCGACUGGUCAUGCUUUUGGAUUAACAGUAUACUUACAGAGAUACCAUUGAGAAACUAACAAAAAUGGAAGCUGCAUGGAAUUAAUACAAAAAUAUGAUAUUCUUUUUCCUAAAUUUUAUUUUUUUAACAAUGACAUUGUUCAUUGUUAUGAUAGGGGUGUUACUAAAUCAAAAAUGAAAUUCAGUUGAAGAAGACCACCAUGGCCAGUGAAAGCUCCAGAUAAUAUGAAAGAGUUUUUAUAUAUAUAAUUUUGCUUAUUUGAUUUCUUUUACCAUGUAAUGGACAUAAUCUGUGUAUUAUACUAAUUGUUAUAUAUGUAAAGUAAGAAAAAAAACCAUUUGCUGCCAAAAUUAAUACUUUUAUAGCCAGUUUUAAUGUUGUCUUUUCUAGAUUUUAGCAUCAACUAAUAUUUUCCAGUCAUAGUAGUAGAGUCUGUAUAAUCAGCAUGACAUUUUUAUUUUUCUUUAGUAUGGGACUUAUCAGACAACCAAACUCAAACUGCGCUUAUGAUGAUUUUCUCCUUCUGCUUGUAUGGAUGUCAACAUUUCUGUUUCUCAUCAAAAUAUAUCUAGCCAUAAGCACUAUCUAAUCUAAAAUAAAAUUGGUUUUAUAAUGUCCCCAGGAUAGCCCUGUUAAUUUUGGGUCAUAAGUCAAGUUCUCAGCAGCUAUUGAAGAGUGAAACUGGGGCAAACUUUUUGUUUCAAGGAAAUAUCUUUUGACCCAUAUGCCCACCAUUCUCCAAACUUAGCUGCUUGCGAAUGUCUCUUAGAAAAAAAUUUGGUAAGUGCUGUCUAAAUCCGUAGGUCAUAAGUCAAGGUCACUGUACUAUUAUUUUAACAUGAAGUUGUCUGCAGACUUAUAUACCAUCACUUUAGCCAAUGAAAUAAAGCCAAAUUAAAAAAUCUAUUCCUUAACCUCUCACAUUAAGGAUUUUUAGAAUUUAUCUGUUUUGUAACAUUAGUCAAGUCAAAUUUCACCGAAGAGUUUUGUAAGGGAAUGAACUGUAGAGUUUUUUUUUAAGGAAAUGAACUGUUUGUAUAAAAUUAGUUAUUAAUAAAUGACUAUUGUAAAGUUACCUAGAAUGAAAUUUAAUGCAGGUGCUCAGCUAUUACAGUUGAACAGUGGUGCUGCAUGUUAGUUGAAUUUAGUGAAUUAGUUUUCAAUCAUGUGCAUGUUGAUAAGUAGAUCUUAUAUUAGAGAUAUAAAGUAACUUAUACAGUCUUUCAAGUUUGCUCAUGCUUUAAAUCAUAGGUAAUUGGUACCUAUGAUGAGUUUAUUUAUAGUUAGAAAAAUAUGACAAUUGUAUCAUAAUUUUUUAUUGUAAGUUAAAUGUAUAUUUUUGAUAUAUUCUGUACAAUUUCUGAAAUCACAAGAAGUUAACAAAAUUUGA